RNAcentral lists this long non-coding RNA (1249 nucleotides) under Monodelphis domestica (gray short-tailed opossum). RNAcentral's name for it is "lncRNA (ENSMODG00000049083.1)". Lineage: Eukaryota; Metazoa; Chordata; Mammalia; Didelphimorphia; Didelphidae. The record is from RNAcentral.
GAAAACUCCAUGGACAGAAUGGUCCACAGGCUCCCAAAGAACCAAACCACCAAAAAAUCCAACAAAUGAGGCAGUUCAGCAGCCCAGCAGAUAGAGGGUUGGACUGAAAGUCAGGAAGCUCCGAGUUCAGAUCCAGACCCAGAUAUUAGAUAUGUAGCCCUGGGUAAGUCACAUAAUCUCUGAAAUGGGGAUAAAGAUGGCACCUUCCUCACAGGUUGUUGUGAAGAUAAAUUAAGAUAUCUCUCAAGCACUCUGCAGAUCUAGGAAGGUGGCAAAAAGGAAGGCCCCACCCCCACCCCCGCCUCUGGGCAGCGCGCAUGCGCAAUCAUGGAAACAGGGCUCUUGGGAGUCCGGAAGCCCAGGCUGCCGCUGCCGCUCUGCUCCGUGCUUGAGUGGGUGACCUUGGAGGGCAUUUCUCAGCCUUAGAGGAAGCUUCUUGAUAGGACCUUUUGGUUCACACCUCCAAGUGCUCUGGGAAGGGGAGCUAUUGAUACACAAGUUUAUAGGAAAGCGAAGCCCGUCUGGCGACUCGGUGACAGAGUCACCUGGCCACUGAACAAGGAGCACGUGGGGGGAGGAGGGCUGGCAAGGACCACAAGAGAAACAGCCCCCUCCAUUUUAGGGCCGGGACUCUCUCUUGCUGUGGAUCAUGGCCAGGUAUGAAGAGAAAAUGGAUCUCAUUUUUGGUGAGAAACCUUUGUAUUCUAUAUUUUCUUAGCUGGCACAGUGUGUCAAUGACUAUAAGCUACAUUUUUGAAUUUUAAAACUCUUUUAUUAUAUUUUUCUUGCAUGUGCAAUAUACUAUUUCAGUCUUUUAUUUUUUCUCUUCUUUUUAUAUUUGAAGCACAUGUCACCAGUAUUAAGAUUUUAACUUUUUUGAUUUUGCAGUCAUAUAAGUUUAAAAUAUAUUUGCUAUAAUGUCAAUGCAUGCCCCCAAAAGCUUGAGACUGUAAAAACAAUGCCACUAACUGUUUAAAAGAAAAAAACAUUAUGGGACUUUGCUUAAUGAUUCUGAUUCCAGGACAAGAUAAUACACAAAGAGGCAUUUCACAGGGCCAAAGGAGCACAAAGCUAAACCUGAAUCAUGCCAAAAGAUCACAGAGGUCAAAAAAGAAGAAACCAAUUCAGUGUGGCAACUUUCUGUAGUCCUGGCUACUGACUGGAAACUGAACUGUUUGGAGAAGACACCAUGAAGAUGCCUCCACAGACCACAAGCUGCACGAGAAGGAUCAAGAAUGAACUUUGGGUG